GUGCUCACGUCAGCAGCACAUAUACUAAAAUUGGAAUGAUACAGGGAAGAUACAUGGCCUCUGCACCAGGAUGACACACAAUUUGUGAAGCAUUCCAUAUUUUU
Molecule: small nuclear RNA, 104 nt
Organism: Jaculus jaculus (lesser Egyptian jerboa)
Lineage: Eukaryota; Metazoa; Chordata; Mammalia; Rodentia; Dipodidae
Source: Ensembl